RNAcentral lists this ribosomal RNA (892 nucleotides) under Streptomyces sp. Its description in RNAcentral is "bacterial SSU rRNA". It matches the Rfam family "Bacterial small subunit ribosomal RNA", at positions 8 to 916 of the family's 1533-position model. Lineage: Bacteria; Bacillati; Actinomycetota; Actinomycetes; Kitasatosporales; Streptomycetaceae. The record is from RNAcentral.
AGAGUUUGAUCCUGGCUCAGACGAACGCUGGCGGCGUGCUUAACACAUGCAAGUCGAACGAUGAAGCCCUUCGGGGUGGAUUAGUGGCGAACGGGUGAGUAACACGUGGGCAAUCUGCCCUUCACUCUGGGACAAGCCCUGGAAACGGGGUCUAAUACCGGAUAACACUCUGUCCCGCAUGGGACGGGGUUGAAAGCUCCGGCGGUGAAGGAUGAGCCCGCGGCCUAUCAGCUUGUUGGUGGGGUGAUGGCCUACCAAGGCGACGACGGGUAGCCGGCCUGAGAGGGCGACCGGCCACACUGGGACUGAGACACGGCCCAGACUCCUACGGGAGGCAGCAGUGGGGAAUAUUGCACAAUGGGCGAAAGCCUGAUGCAGCGACGCCGCGUGAGGGAUGACGGCCUUCGGGUUGUAAACCUCUUUCAGCAGGGAAGAAGCGAAAGUGACGGUACCUGCAGAAGAAGCGCCGGCUAACUACGUGCCAGCAGCCGCGGUAAUACGUAGGGCGCAAGCGUUGUCCGGAAUUAUUGGGCGUAAAGAGCUCGUAGGCGGCUUGUUGCGUCGGUUGUGAAAGCCCGGGGCUUAACCCCGGGUCUGCAGUCGAUACGGGCAGGCUAGAGUGUGGUAGGGGAGAUCGGAAUUCCUGGUGUAGCGGUGAAAUGCGCAGAUAUCAGGAGGAACACCGGUGGCGAAGGCGGAUCUCUGGGCCAUUACUGACGCUGAGGAGCGAAAGCGUGGGGAGCGAACAGGAUUAGAUACCCUGGUAGUCCACGCCGUAAACGUUGGGAACUAGGUGUUGGCGACAUUCCACGUCGUCGGUGCCGCAGCUAACGCAUUAAGUUCCCCGCCUGGGGAGUACGGCCGCAAGGCUAAAACUCAAAGGAAUUGACGG